GCGGCCCGGCUGAGCUCGGCGUGGGCAGCAGCGGCUGCGGUGCGAAGGCUCCGGCCUGCGGGAAGACGCUAACCGAGGCGGGGAGGGUCAAGCCAGCUGGCACGCUGCUGAGCGGGAGGGGCAGAGAGGCGCUGUAGGUCAUGGAGCCCAGGGGCGCCCCCACAGGCCCGCCUGCCAGGCCCAGCGCCGGCGAGCCGGUGCGCAUCUGGUUUAGCGUCGGCCUGCCCGGCUCGCCCGCGCCGAACGGGUUGGUGGGGGACGGAGCGCUGAGACCUGCAGAACGAGAGUGGCUUUGAGUGACCCGGGGUUCAGAGCCCUACACCGGGAGGUCGUGGAAGUUGGGAAGAAGAGUGGGCUCCUCCGGCGGAGGCUAGGCUCUGAAAGCAGGAGCCCCUGGGUUGAGGGACAAGGGCAUAUCUUACCUGUCAGGAAGGGGUUCCGGGUCUUUGCAACCUGGGGUGCCUUGACCAACGAGUCAAGGUUGACCAAGGAGGAAGCUGAGGGACCCAGGAAGGACUCGGGAGUCCGGCAAGCUCGGGCCUCUUUGCUUGGCUGGGUUAGUGCUUCCCCUAGUAUGCCCAGGUCCAGGGCAUCUGGCUCCUUCGUGCCAUUUUGCUUGGAACUGGGGCUGGGGUCUCCAAACAGGUCCAGCUCUGGAAUAGAAAUGCUAGAGCUAAUUGGUGGGGAAAGGGAUUGGCGCCCGACGUGGGAGGAAGAGGACAGAGGCUGCUCGGGGUGGGCCCCUCAUUCCCCAGAGCCUCACCAUCCCCUUGCCCUGCUCACCCACAGGGCUGCUGGGCUUCCCAGAGGGCAGGGCCUGCUCCAGCCCCUCCUUGGUCUCUGUGGAUUCUGGAGGUUUGGCAAAUGGGUCAAAGGUCGAGGCACCACCUCGGAAGAGAGAGAGGAAGAGGAGAUGGGUUGACAAAAAGGGCAGGUGUUGGUCUGACCCCUUUCCAGAGAAGCUGUCCUCCUAACACAAACAGUAUCUGCUGCCCCUUGGCCCUGCCUGGAAGUCCCCCAGCUCCUCACUCACACUCUCUGGCCCUCUUCUUACCAGGUGUGUCGGAGGUCUCCAGGGAGGCUCCCCAAGGGUCAGCCCCAGUGCUGGGGAGUUUGUGGUGGGGAGAGUUCAGGGCCCAGGGGUCUGUGGUGGGGGGCCCAGCAGGCAGCACUGGGGUCCUGCCCCAGGGCUCAGAGGAGGAGAGCAUGGGAGUCAGAUCCCAGGGCUGGCUUCGGGACAGGACGGUUCCUGAGGGGAUCGGAGACCAGGGGUCUGCAGAAGGCCCCCAGGAGGAUCCACUGGCCUCUGUGUUCGGCCUAAAACCUGAAAUGGGAACAGCAUAGACAUGAUCCCAGGCCCACCCUUAUCCCUCGCCCAGGGCCCUUCCCAGUUACCCAGCCCAAGUUGGGAGGCAGAAGAUCCAUGUCACAGAUGGCCUGCAGCCUCAGGACCACCCAGCAGGCUGGAGCCCCUAUUUGACAAGUGACCCCAGGAACUGGGACCUGCAGGUGUGGGCGACUCAGGCCACCUUCCCAGGCGUGCUGAGCAAGUGAGUGCAGCGAGAGAACAUUUUGCUGCGUUUCCUAGGAGCUGGGCCCUUCAGACAUUCUCCAUAGCCCUCACUACGAAAGCCUGUCCCACAGGCGGCGGAGGCUCAAGGUGGUGAGUGACUUGCCCGGUGACACUCAGAUUUUGGGAGGAGGUGCUUGGCCCAGCAAGUGGCUGGGAAGGAGGAGGCUCUUGGGCCAGCCUGGAAGUCUCUUGCAGCCCUGCAUGCCCACCUGGGAUGUCCCAUGGGUCAGCAGAGCAGUGUGUGGAGGGCGGGGCCAGGGCAGGUACGAAGAUGUCAGCCAAGUCCAGGAUGGAGGACUGUGGAGGGGAGAGGCAGCCGCGGCUCAGAAGUGGGCGGGGCCUGGAGGGAGGGCAGGCCCUGACCUGUCAGGCUAAUGCCAGUUCAUUCUCUUUAUUCAUUCCACAGAUACCUAUUCAUGAUCCCUCACCUCUGCACAGUGCUUUACAGUUUAUAAUGUUUCUUCAUCCACAGAGUACCUGAUUUUCAUAACAACCCUGUGAGGUAGGUAGGGCAGAUGAUGUACCCAUUUUAUGGAUGAGCCAGCCAGCGCACAGAGGGUGGAAUGGGUUUGCCUGAAGUCACACAGCCAGGGAGAGGCAGAGCUGGGAUAGAAUCCAGGCCAGCAGAAAGGGGCAGGAAGGCCAAAGGCAGAUGUUUUUCAACCAGCCUACCUCCCUAGGUCAGUGUCCAAGAGAAACUGGCCACAGUGAACAUGGACGGAAAGGAGACCACAGCACCCGGGCGUGGCAUGGACAGCUUUGGAGGGCAGCCUUGCACUCAGCAGCUGCCCACUCCCCAUGCGGAGAAAAUAUGUCCAUGAGCCCGAGGUGUUUUCAGCACCAUGUGCUUAGGCCAACCCUAGUCUUGAUUGACAGUAUCACAUAAUCCUAGCAUGUCAGAGCUGGAACUAUCCAAUAAGCACACUGUGCAGAAGGGGAAACUGAGGCCAUGACAGUGACAUGCCCCAAGUCAUAGAGUAAGUGGCAGCAAAUCCAGAACCCGAAUCCGGGGGUCUCCAAUCAGGAACCUUUUGCAUCCCACUUUGCUGUUAACUCAGUCACCAGCCCAUGCAAUGUGGGACUAGGGCUGCUACACCCCCACCCCUAUUUCAUCGAAUAAACACAUCAGUGCUUACUAUAUGCCAGGCACUGCUCUGCUCUCUCUUUACAAAUACUCAGUCCAUCUCUUAGGCCCUGUCCAUCCCAAGCACCGCAGCCCACUCCCUACCUGGCUGGUUUUUAGCUUCUCCUCCUCCUUUCUCUCUUCUCUCUCAGGCUCUCUGUCCCGCUGAUGGUGGACCACGGCCCCUGCACCAUUGGCCAUGGGGGAGCCAUCACCCUGCCAGGACCUCACCUCCUGCAGAAGGCACAGAAAGAGUUAGGAGCAUGAGCAGCUCAGGCGGGAAUCCGGGGACCUGUGCACCAGAGGCUGGAGUCGAGAGAGUGCAGGGUGGGAGGCAGCUGAGAGGUUAGGAGCAGCAGGGCCACCGGGUACAGCGGGAGGAGGCUGUUAGUGCCCUGAAGCACCUCCACCAGCAGCAGCAGCAGCACCGGCAGCCCAGCGGGCUCGGCCCACUACCUUCUCGUGCUCCUGCCGGCUCAGGCGCAGAGCCAGCUGCAGCUGCAGGUCCUCGUCCCUGUGGGAGGCUGGGGGGACAGGCUGCGGAGGAAGAGAGGGGUAAACUUGGCCCUGUACCCCCACCUUGGGACCAGAAGGGCAGUAUAGGCCUGCCUGGGUCAUGGGGAUGGAGACACUAAUGCCCACCCUCAGUGUGCAUGGGCCAUUUGCCGCUCAGUCAGCAGGGUGGGCGUGGCCUUCUCCCUGCCUGCAUCUGAAAUGCAGUUUAAAGGUCAGGAAGACUGAUCUUUCGCUUCUGAAUCCUCUGAGAGUUCCUCAGGCCCUCCUGUGUGAGGCCCAGCUGCUUCCUGCCUGGUCUUCCUGGAUCCACAGAGGUAAUGGCAAAGAUGAUGAUAUCGGGGGCCUGUCCUUGUCUCCCCAAAAGGAUAGCUGGUGGGCGGGGGUGGGAAGCAUAUCCCAGUGUCUCCUAGGAAUAUGUCUGAGCACACUCACCCACUCCACCAUGAGGUGGUAGCAGGCACCCCAAGACAUAGCAUGUGCCCCUAAUUGUACACUCGCCACCCUUUCCAGGCCCAGUGGAGAGGACUGGAGGCAGGGAGGCAGUCCCUGCCUGCGACAAACCGACAGAGAUAAUGGGUCUUGUGCUGUCCUUGGGCACAGGACUGGGGCUUUGGGUGACAGAGCCUGAGUCAAGGCCAAGGGGCUCCCAGGCACUCUCUCCCCCUAGCCCAUCCCCUCCCCACCGCAGUGGGGCUGCAUGGCCUCACCUUCUCUGCCUCCUCACGGCUCAUGGCGAGGGCCAGCUGCAGCUGCAGUUCCUCUUCCCCUGACGUCUGAGGCCGGGCCUGCUCCAGGUCGGAGGUAUAGCGGGGUGACGAAGAGGAGGCUGCAAUGACCAUCAUGUCUCUGUGACCACACGAUUACCCAUCGGCUCCCACACCCCUCUGCCUGCCAGGAAGCUGAGGCUCAAGAGAACUGAGAGGAGGGGAACAACGGCCGUUGAGGCCCCCGUGGGCCAAGCAGUGUGCCAGGCACUCUGUAAGUUCCCCAUCCCAACCCAUCCCGGAUGGAGGGGCGGCUCCAGUCCCUCCUUAGCAGAUGCACAGGCGGCACUUAGGGCCCCUGACCAGGUUCCUGAAGCAGGACUUGAACCCAGGUGCCCUGACUCCAGCUCUUGGACUUCCAGAUGGACCCUGUCCUGGCUUGGGGGCAAGGGAGGUGCAAGGAUAGGAGGUUCUAGUCCAACGAGGUCACAACCUCAAAGCCCUCAGCAAACUGUCAAGGGCUUUAUGGAAGGCGGGCCAUUCUGAGUAUUCCUCAGAUCCUGGAAGCCCCCAUGACUGGGGGCAGGAGAGUCAGGGACUGUCUAGCCGCUGCCCUCAGGUAGGGGGAUGAAGGGGAAUGCCAUGUGUCUGGGUGCAGGGUAGAGGACGUUCCUGAACCUGGUCUCAUUUCAUUCUCAGAUCAAACAAUGGAGGUAGGUGAGCUUAUCCCCACUGUACAGAUGAGGAAACUGAGGUUCAGAGAACUGGUUGCCCAGGUCACACAGCUUGGAGGAAGCAGAAUAUAGAAUGCUAUCUGACUCCAAACCCAUGCUUCCACUAUCGCGCCAUCCUAUCAGGCAGCUAACGAAUGAUAAUGAAUCUAUAACAACGUUAUUAUCUGAGCUAACUUGUUGAGCACCUCCUAUGUGCCGGGUGUUGCGCCUUGCGUGUUACAUUCCUUAUGUCUGAAUCUUCAUAACACCCCUCGGAGGUAGGUAUUAUGAACCAUGGCUUGGAUUGCAGAGCCAGGAAUGGAAGUCGGGCCACCUCCCCAUCCCAGCCACACACCGGGGCUUACUCACAGUUGUAGGAGGACGGGGAGCCCCGGGAGCGGCUGUAGUCCUCGCCGUAGCGGCGGCUGAAGCCCAGCUGCCCACUGCCAAUGCCGAUGCCCUCCAGUGCCAUGCGCUCCUUGGUCUUGAGGGCGUGGGUUCGCUCCUGCCGCAGCCGCUCCUCAUCCUUGAGCAGGGCCAUCACCUGCUUGACCUUCUCGCGCACGUUGACGCCCUGGUCCUUGCCGUCGCGGUCGAUGUACUGGAAGUCCUUGAGUGUCUGGAUGGUGUAGAGGUUCUCGCGGCACUGGUGGGCCACCCGCUCGGAGCCCGUCUUGAGCAGGUAGUCCAGCAAUGUUAGAGCCUUGUACACGUGCCGCCAGUUCUUGCCGCUGUCAUUGAGCCGCCGCCACAGCAUGCCCAUGACUUCGGUGAAGGCCACUGUGUUGAAGGUCAGGUCAGCGAUCUCGGACAUGAGCGAACUAGGGGGGCCCCAGGGGUCAUUGCUGGUGGCCUCGCGCACCUUGAUUUCUGCCUCGGAGUAGUUGUGCACGAUGUUCUUCACCUGGCGCCGGAGUGCGGAGGUCGUCAUGGCUGGAGACUUGGAGGUGGGUGGCCCUCGCCCCCGCCGGAGGUGGAGGGCUGAGGGCCACUGUGGCGAGGUCACAGUCUUGAAGGAUGGGCUGCCGUGUUAGCAGAGCAGCUGCAUCCUUGGGUUCCACAUGGGGCUGAGGAAGAGAGGGCCAGGAACUCAGGGGCAGAGGCCUACCUCAUGGGUCACUCAGCCACUGACCAACUAAAUGAGGCCUGGCCAGAGUGUCCCUGCCUCCAGGGACAGCCUUCAGCGGCACACGUUCUUAUUUCACUUACAAUUCAGCAGGCACUUGGAGCUUUGCAUGCUCAUCUAUCUAUCUUCACAGCCACACCCCAAAGAUGCUAUUAUCAUUACCUCCAUCCACAGAUGGGAAAGGUGGGGCUCAGAGUAUUAAAUGGGCCCGGUGCAGUGGCUCACGCCUGUAAUUCCAGGACUUCAGGAGGCCAAGGCAAGAGGAUCACUUGAGGCCAGUAGUUGGAGGCUGCAGUGAGCCAUGGUCAGGCCACUGGGCAACAGAGCGAGACCCUGUAAUAUUAAGUGACUUGUCCGAGAUCACAGAGCUGCUGCAUGGGGAACCAAGAUGACCCCAGGAAGCCCCACCUAAGAGUGCAUGGCCUCAUGGGGGAACGCUAACAGGAUUCCAGGAAUGCCCGCUUGCCUUGCUUCUGCUCGGCCACUGCCUCUGUUUCUGCUGAGAUCUAGCUUAAGACCUAUCCUUCCUAGCUCCUCAGCUCACUUUUCUCAUAUUGUUAAUUUUUGUAGUUUGAUGCAUUCAACACCUAUUUCCCGGAGGCCUUUUCUGAGCCAGGCACCAUGCCAGGCACAGAACACACGCCUUGGUCCACCCACGUUCAGUUGAGAGGGUACAGAAAAUCACAGUCCAGUGUGGGAGUGCAGAGCCGCACAGGAAGACCCAAGCCAGGAAAAUCAGGGGAGACUUCCUAGAGGAGGUGGUGACAGAGCUGAGAUCCAAGAUCACAAGGGAAGAGUAAGGAGGAGUGAACCAGCAAGUCAGGGGAGGGCGGCUCAGAAGAAAUGCUAUGACCUGGGCCAGAAGGCAAGAGAGCAAGUAUCGUUUGAGGAAGACUGCCCCUCAGAGUUCUGGCCACUGCCAACACUCCUGCAUGCCACCCCCACGUACACAUGGAAGUGUUGAGGCCAGAGAGGGGAUGGGACCUGCCUGCAUCAUAUGGCACGUAAGUGGCAGAGCCUGGACUACCAUCCAGGACUCCAGAAGACUAAUCCAAUUCUUAUUGUCAGUGUUACCCAGUUUGGUCAUUAUUUCAUCGGAUUGCUUUACUGUCUCAGUCCCACCUUCUCAGCUAGAAUGGAAGCUCCCUGAGAGUAGGAACAGUCUGGGUUCUCCAAAGCCCCAAAACGCUGGACACAUAGUGGACCUCUGGUACCCCAGCAGGGAGAAGAGCUGGGCCAGCCCAAUUCCCCCCAGUAGCCACAGGUCCAGGCUAUCUGCUGAAUACAACUCCAGGCCCAAGGUCCUCCCAAAGGCCCUUUCAGAAACCAAAAGAGGAAUUCCCUGACCACCACCAUUCCUCCCACACUAGCACUGGUGUGUGCAUGCACACACACACUGUCUGGGCCUGCAGAGCCUCCACUUCACCCGUGAACUGUCCCCCACCCACCAAACACCUUUCGGCUCCACCCUCCAUCCCAGCCCGUGCCCCAACUGGUCCCCAGGCUGCCAGAAGCAGGAAUCUGAAGGAGACUGUCCUCUCGCACCCGAUUCCACGCUCCUUCCACCCCAGCCCCGCCAGUGCUGGGCUCAGUUCAAAGCAGCCCCACGCUUUGAAAACAUGCCUUGGCAGGUUUUGUUGGGGGCCCAGAGAAUAAGAUACCGUGGGAGUGGGCGAGGUGGAGAGUGCCUGGCCCACAGCGCAGCCUACCUUUUGUCUGCUAUCUCUUUCCUUCCAGCGGGUCGUGGGCCUUCUGUGGGAAUGCCACGGCCACAACUUGUUUAACUCCUGCCCUCCCCCUUGCUAGUGACUCAGACCUGCCUUCACCUCCCCAACCCGUGGCUGGGGGUGGCAGAGUCAAGAUGGGAAAUAAUGUGCACCAAAGCCCGCCCAGCACACGCCCCUACCGGCUGGCCGCUGGAACUAGCAGAACCAGUCGGGCACUGUGACUGCACCAGAGCCCUACCUGGACCUGGCUGCCCUGGCCCUCCGGCCUGGCCUGUGUGGGGGCACCAGCCUCUGGGAGGGGACUCUCGGUGUGGGCCCAGCGGCCCUGCCUGGACCUUUCUCACAGAAGGUGGGCAUUCUCUGCACACCCCUGCAGGGGCUGGGGGGAAGGGCGGGGCCAGAAACAUGGGGAGGCACCUUGAUUUUCCUUCUCUGGAGUUUGAGGGGACAAGGUGAGGCUGCCCAAGCACAGAGAAGGGAGGAGGAAAGGAAGAAGCCUGCCCAAGCGCAGAGAAGGGAGGAGGAAAGGAAGAAGCCUGCCCAAGCGCAGAGAAGGGAGGAGGAAAGGAAGGAACGCGGGAACGCGGGAGGGAGCAGCUGGGAGCGCUGCCAGCAGUGUUACAAGCAAAGGGUUUUAUCGAACACGAUAUGCCCAGAAAUAAAAGGGAGUGUAACAGAAACCCAGCGGCCGAUAAGGCGGUGGCGGUAGCAGCAGCAGCCCUGGGCAGCUGGGUAUGGAAUUACUGCAGUGACCUUGAGCCAGACCCUGUCAGGUGGAGGGAAGGGCACAGAGAGGGCAGGGCCUGAGAAUUCAGAGAUGACGAGAGGGCAGAGGAGGGAGGAAGCUGAGGGGAUGGGAGCAGGGCCAGCAGGCGGUGGGAUGGGCCACGGGGCACGGAGUAUCAGCUCUCUCCUGCAUACAGGGUCCCAAGGAGAACUGCGCAGUAGGGAGGGGCUGCUCUUCUCAGGGCCUGCAGGAUGGGGGGAUCUGGAGAGUUUCCCAAAAGUCAGGACCGAAAAAUGCAGAUCGCUCAUCCCCAGCAAGGGUUUCGGAGAGAUGGAGAGAACCCAGAUCUGUCCAGUCACACGUGCAUGAGUUUGCGUAAAGUCUGUGCACCCACCAGCCCAGCCCACACCCUCUUCCCGUCCUCUGCUAAGGUGGGCUCCAGCCCCUGCCUCCAAGUCAGAUCCAGCCUGAGCAGUGGGGAAUGACAGUGCCCUUCUUGAUGCUGUAAGGGACAGGGGGUGAGCUUGAACUCUAAGCUUCUGGCCACUGUAAUAGCUGCAUCCCGGGAGCACAGAAGAUGGGGGAGGGGGGACUGCCCUGAGGCUAGAGGUGUGCAUGAGGGGCUGAAGAAGAGGAAACAGCAGAGAUGUGCAGAAGGAGUCUGUGGGGAAUGCCACCAAAGAUGCUAAGAUGCCACCAAAGAUGCUAAGUCCCAGGAUGGUUGGGGAGGGGGCCCUGAGUCCCUUUUUGGGGGCGGCAGGGAGGGAGGGGUGGCAGGAAAGAAGCCUUUAGGUCCUCUACAGCUCAGCCUUCUCCCUCGCACCUGGAAAAGAGACUAAGCCCCAGAACCACUGUUUGCUCCCCACCAACCCCCGCCUUCCAUGCCGCCACUGCCAGGGAGGGGGCCAGGGAGGAAGCUUACCUCCAGUGCGGGCUCCCUCGGCCCCAGCCCCAGCCCGAGUAGCCUCUGCGGUGACCCUCCGACCUGUGCAGCAGCGGGACGGCACAGCCUCGGGAGCGUCUCCAGAGCCAUCCACCAUGGACCCUCGUCCCAGAGACCCACCUGCUCCCAGGAGGUGCAGACCCCUCAGAGGGGCAGCGGCAGGGUCCCUGGAAUGGGUAGCAGCUCUUCCCGCGUGCGUUUGCCUCCUAGCCAGCGCCAGGCAGCACUCCGAGGAAAGUUGCUCAGCUGGCCCGGCAGGUCUGCCUCAGCAGUAACAGGACACAGGAGGAAGUGCAGGGCAGGUUAACCCCUUCCUGCUGGCCAGGCAAGUGGUGCAUUGAGAGGUGGGGGGCCUGCCUGUUGGCCGCCCCCAGGAAGUGCACAUCUGGAGCCAGUGCUGGCGACCUGAUCCCCUCUGCUUUGAGUUAACCCUUCCCCUGCCUCUUCAACAGGAAAGGAGGGGGGCUCCAACACCCCCACCACACCCCUCCCCUUCCUCCUCUGGGCCGGGAGGACAUUAAAGGAGAGGGCAGGGACAUUCCCUGGGGCUGGCUCUUUGGUGGAGCCCCCGUCUUCUCGUCUUCUUGGGGAGGAGAGCAUCAGGACUCCAGCACAGCCCCCUCCCUGCCUUUCCCACACGGAGUCAGAUCCUUCUGUCCAUCCUCCCCCUCCUGCAUCUCAGCUGGAGGAUGCCUGAGGCCCACUUAAGGAUGCCCACCCACCCAAAAACCAAAGUUGUUCUUCAAACUCUGGGAGCCUGGAGUGCUCUUCACACAGGGAGCCCAGCCCCAAAUGGUUAUGACUGACAGAAGACAAUGAGGGGCCUGAGUUUGAGCUGACAAUACCUUUUUUUCUGAGAGCCAUUUCUAGCCUGUUUCAUGUUCCCCUGAGCAAGGGAGGUAGCAUGAAGAUCAGCAGCUGUUUUUAAGGCAGAAAGAUGGCUCAAGGCCAGAUAGUUUGAGAUGAGGAGGGGGAUAAGGCAGACUAGACCCCGAAAUAACAAGGUGAUGUGGCCUCUAGAGCUGAAGAGGUGUGGUGAGCAUGAUCUUCAGGGACUGAAUUGGGGCCCUGGGACCCAGCUGAAGAGGGGAGAUGGCAGGGAGCCAGGUCCCAUGGGUCUAGUUCUACUCCUCAUCUCACACUUUGUCAUACUUGGUGAUGACACUUCGGGAAGACCUGGCUCCAGGAAGCACGACCCUGAAAGUGUGGGCCAAGGAAGCCAGAGGCAGGGACUACCAGAGGUGACACACUGUCCUGUCACCUGACUCCUUGUCUUGCUACCAAUCUGCUCCUCUGCUUGGCAUCCCACACAUCACUUCCCCAGCUAUGUCUGUCUGUCCUCCUGCAGGAGGGCUCUGGCAGCUGGCAGGAGGGGAUCUGAGGGCAGGUGGAACAUGGGAGGACCUGGAUCAGGAGCUGACCUAGCCAAGAUCCAUCAUGCAAGACACAGAGGCACACGGAAGUAGUAGAAACUUGAAGGUUCUUUAUUGAUUUAUUUAUUAACCCGUUUUCCAGAAGGUUGCUUGGGCCCGAGAGUCACCUGCAGAGGCGCAAAGCCUCCUCGACAUUCUUUAUGGGGCUGAGCUCAUCAGCCAGGACCAUCAGGUCAGUCACCAGGGUGUCCAGCAGCCCACGGACCUGGAAGAACGGGACAACAUCACAGGCAGAGUUUACUCUGUGGGAAGCACCUAUAUAUGAACUAUGCUGUGAGAGAAUAGCUGGAGAGGGGAAAGAAACCAGUUGUUUGUGAAAGAAUUUCACAAGUUCAAAGUUCUUGUGAAAUAAUUUUUGGUUUUGCAGAUUUUUUUUUUUUUUGACAGGAUCUCACUCUGUCACCCAGGCUGGAGUCCAGUGGUGUGAUCAUGGCUCACUGCAGCCUUGACUUCCCUGGCUCAGGUGAUUCUCCCAUCUCAGCCUCCCAAGUAGCUGGGACUACAGGCGUGCACCACCAGACCUGGCUACUUUUUUCUAUUUUUUGUAGAGAUGGGGUUUCAC
Molecule: long non-coding RNA, 11147 nt
Filed under: Homo sapiens (human)
Lineage: Eukaryota; Metazoa; Chordata; Mammalia; Primates; Hominidae
Description: HSALNT0390596
Source: RNAcentral